GGUCCUCAUAUCUGCUUUGGUACCAAUAGCAUGCUUUUUUUGUUACUAUUGCUCUAUAAAUUUAAGGUCUCAUAUUGUGAUGCCUCUUGCUUCACUUUUCUAUCAAAGGACUGCUUUGGUUAUUCUGGGCCUCUUGUUUUGCCAAAUGAAUUUCAUGACUGCUUUUUCUAAUUUUAAUCGAAUUGCAUUAAAUCUUUAUAGUGCUUUUGGUAGUUUGGUCAUUUUGACAAUAUUAUUUCUGCCCAUUCAAGAACGUGGAAAGUCCUUUAAUCUUCUAUAGUAUUCCUAAAUUUCUUUCCUUAGUGUUCUGUAGUUUUCAUUGUAGAAGUCUUUCGCCUCUUUUGUUAGAUUGAUUUUUAGGAAUUGAUUAUAUACUUUUUGAGGCUAUAAUAAAUAGGAUAGUUUUUUAAAUUUCUCUUUUGCUAAUUCAUUGUUGGUGUAUAGGACCACAAUUGAUCUAUGUGUGUUAAUUUUAUAUCCUGCCCCUUUGCUGAAUUUAUUUAUGAGUUGUAGAAGUUUUCUGGUGGAGAUUUUUGGGGUCUUCUAAAUAUAGGAUCAUUUUUGUCAGCAAAUAGGGAUAGUUUGAGCUCUUUUCCUAUUUGCAUCCCUUGAAUUUCUUUCUUUUGCCUAGUUGCUUUGGCUACUUUCAAGGUGGGAUACAAGUGGUGAAAGAAGGCAUCCUGGUCUUGUUCUGCUUUUUAGGGGAAAUGCUUUCAGUUUUUCUCCAUUUUGAAUGAUGCUGGCUUGGGC
This 750-nucleotide long non-coding RNA is filed under the name Marmota monax (woodchuck). The record is from RNAcentral. Lineage: Eukaryota; Metazoa; Chordata; Mammalia; Rodentia; Sciuridae.